GCCUAGAAGGUGGGUCUCAUCAUCAGCCCCAUUUUACACCUAGGAAGCGGAGGGACAGAAAGGUGGAGUAAGAUGAAUAAUCACGGGUUUUCUUUCUUCUCUUGUCACCCUUUGUUGCAGUCUGGUGUGUUCUGGCCACACGCUUCCCUCGCCACCUCUUAGCUAUUCGAAAACCUCCAGCUUCACCUUCCCGGCUAGACCCCCGGGCUGGGCGGAGCUUCUAGCUCUAACUGGACCCCCAUGGAUCCACUCCAGAAAUGGAACCCAGCGUUGGUUUCCGGAUCUUCCCAGGUGACCGCUGGGGAGAACUCGCAGGAGGGUGCGGCAGCCUCUCAGCCUUCUUCCUCGGAACAGCUAAUGAUGGGCCUCAGCGGCCUGAACCCCAGUCCUGGUCCUGGCCUCUCUGCCCCUCUGCCAGAGGGGCUGUUCCAGCAGCAGUACAGGGAGGAGAAGACCCUGCGGGAGCGGCGCUGGGAGCGGCUGGGCUUCCCUCAGAGGAAGAAAGCAUUCCUGGGUCACCUGAGACGCAGGCACCGCGAUCACAUGGCACCUUACCCAGUGGAAAGGGAGACCAGGGUCUACCCCACAGGCGACAGAGCUCAGAAUCGGUUCCGAUGUGAAUGUCGCUACUGCCAGGGCCACAGGCCGAGUAUUUCUGGGCUCUCUGGCGAGAGGAAUGGGGCCCCCAACCCUUCCUCCUGGGAAACGCUAGUGCAGGGCCUCAGCGGCUUGACCCUCAGCCUGGGCACCAACCGGUCUGGCCUUCUGCCAGAAGGGGCACAGCAGCAGCAGCAGGAGCAAGAGGAGAAGUGCCAACUGGAGAAGCAGCAGGAAAGCAAGAGAAUGUUCCAGAGGCUGCUCAAGCAGUGGUUGGAAGAAAACUGAGAGCCCCCUGCCCCCUUUCAUGGGGCGGAGACCUGAAGGGAUUCAGACAGUGCUGUGUUGCCAGCUCCUGGGGGUGGGCUCCUUCUGGGGACCAGACAGUCAGCUGUUGUCGGAGGAGUCCCAAGACUAGUUUUGUGACUGGAUGGAUUCCUAUUGGCGUGAGAUUUGACCCACUCCCAGGGAGGUCCUCCUCUUCCUGCCUGUCAUCUGUGAAGCGCUGUGGGGCACCCUGGGGCAAGGCAGACUGCACACCAGUGGACCUCACCUCAUCCCAUAUGGCUCUCAUGCCGCAUGUUGUCGCUUUCCCAGCCUGGAUCUGCGUCUUUGCUCCCUACCUUGUUGUCAGUAAGAUAUAAGAUGUCUAUGUAGUGUGAAUGCCUUGUUCAUGUCCUUGUGCUUUUGUGCCGUUUUAUCGACUGCCUCCUGGGAGCAGUGCUAGGGCUGUUUGAAAUGGCGGUGCGCAACACUGAGAUCCAGGUUCGAGAAUCUGCAGCUAAACAAAGUGUGGGAAAGGGGUGUGGCAUUGGAACUUGGUGGCUCACUAUUGUACUGUCUGUGUAAACUAUUAUGACUAUGAUAAGCUAACUGUAAGUAAAUGUUUCCCUGCUUCUUAACCAUUGAGUAGUAUUCCCUCCGCGCAGGAUUUUCUGAUGGGGUACCUCAUCGUCAAUACCAAAUAAACACGUGUAUGAAAGGAAAGUAACUUUAGAAUUCAGGUUUGUUGAUCGAUAGUGGUUUGUUUCUUGUUGGACCUUGAGAUCCCCGACCAGCAGACCAGAGCAUGUCAAGAGGAGCUCUGCACUGUGGAGAUUCAGAAUGGGGGAGAAGGGGGCUCAAGAACCCUGUCCGGUCACUGUUUCAGGUGCUGUAGUGGGACCAGCAUUCAGACCAGUCAGGCAGCGAGGUUGGAAGCAGGGUCCCCAGAUCCCAGUAGGAGCCCAUGCUGGUUGCCGCUGAUGCCCUGGCUGAGGGGUCCAGGGCCAUUCCUUGUCACCCGGUGCACUGGUUUGGUGAAAGUGUACAGCAGUUUUCCGCCUGCUUCCUGAGAACCAGAGCAUCACUGAGUUAUUUCAAAACUGUAUCUGGAUUUAGACACGUUCUUUUGAUUUCAGGAAGCCUGAGUGAUUAAAUCUACCUAUUUUCCCCUACAGAAGCCCGUGAUGUGUAUCCAGCCACGGACCAUGUGAUUCCUCUGAGCCGAAAACAAAUUCUGCUUUGUGUCAGUCUGUUUUUAGGGAGGCCCCAGCACUACAUUGCUGCAGAAGUCUGCGCGUCUCCUGCCAACACAAGUGGCUUGAGAGCAGGUAAGUUUCUUAGAUUUUCAACUUGGGAUCCCCUCAGAGAACUUGAGAGCUAAACUGACCCGAUCAGGAUCUCGUCUCCCAGUUCCAAGGGAGAGGGUAAAUAAAGAAGGGCGAAUUCUUUCCUGAAACUCAAAGGCCUAAAUCCUAGAACGGGGAUUCUGCAGUGUUCAGAAGGGAUGACAGGGUGAUGCACAUUGGCUGGUUCUUUACCAGGUGUCAGACAGUAUCCUGCGUGUUUCUAUAUGUUAGCUCUUUUUAUCCCCACCACAGACCCAUCACUUAGCAACAAUGUCAGCCCCACAGUAGAGAGCUUGGCCAGGGUCCCCUGGGCGGCAAGAGGCAGAACUGGCACACAAGCCUAGGCAAGGUGGAGUCUAGCUGGCAACCUGAACCUGUUCCCCCUUUGUAAUGGCUAUUGCAAAGUCACCUUACUGACACCUCAUGCCUUCAAGGACCAAGUCUUGGUAAGAUGUGUUGUUGAAUCCUCAGCACAGCGCAACAGGGCAGGGAUGCUUAUUUGUUGCUGAGAGUCUGUGGAGGUUGUAAAGUGGUGGCCAGAGAGGCAAGCCUUUGUCUGACUCCCCACACACUGAGUCACGCUCCUCAGACCUCGCCUCACCAUCCUCAGUUCAUCGGCCACACCAGCUCCGUGAUGCCAAUGACGACCAAGCGUUAAACCAAUCCCCCGGGGUUCAAUUUCCACACUUGAACUCCCCCUAGUCUAGGCCAUGCUGACGGUUGUGGUGGGGAAAUGAGGAAGAAUGGCGCCGUUGGUCCUUGCCCUUAGGCACUGAGCAUUGAAUCAGGGAGGAAGAUUGGGCACUGUCUCAGUCUCUUUUGUAACAAGAUACUACAGACUGGGCAAUUAAUACAGAAGAGAAAGUUAUUUCUCAUGGUUCUGGAUGCCUGGAAGUCCAAGAUCAAAGUACCUGCGUCUGGUUUCUGGUGAGGACCUUCUUCUCACAUGGCAGAAGGUGGAAGGGCAAGCGGAGAUGGACGUCGUUCCUUUCAUGGCAGUGGAGCCAAACCCAUUCACACAAGCCCCCUUUUAACAGAAUUAAUGCAUUCAUGAGGGCAGAUCCCUGGGGACCUAAAUACUUCCCGUUAGGCCACAGCCCACCCCACCCAACCCCGACACUACCACAUUGGGGUUUAAGUUUGCACAUCAGUUUCAGAGGGGACAAAAAGGUUCAAACCAUAGCAUGCACCAACGGAUGGGCUAGGGAGCAGGCAAUCGAUCCCUUGUGUGGGGCGGUUUGUUCAGGGUGAGAGGAGUGAGAAGGAACCCCGUUGGGGCUCCUCCAUGCAGACACGGAGGGCUUGUGGAGGAAUUCAUUACUACAGAGCAAAUCAAAGUAUGCAGGAGAUUGUGUGGAGAAUGGCACCAUAUCCCCGCCUCCAAGACAAAGGUCUCUAUACCCAUGGAUGGGUUGUAGGAGGGGUUCUGGAAGGGAUGUCUCAGACAUCAGACUAUCCAAAGCUACAGGCUAGGAGCUGGAAUCUCAUGGUGUCCACAGACAUCCGACAUGUCAAAUUCUAAACCGGACACUGAAUGAAAGGUACCAGCAGGCAAGAAAACACUGGGGCAGAGAAAGGUUACAAUGGAUGCACAGGAUGAAAACCUGGACAGAUUUAGAGCAUUCCUAUGAAACGGAGAGAGGAAAUGAGAAAUAUCUUCCCACAAUUGAGAAGUCAGGCCCAGGUGACUUUGGGGGUGAAUUCUACCCAACAUUUAAAGAAGAAAUAGUACCAAUCCUUUGCAGACGCUUCCAGAAUGUGGAAGAGGGUGGGGGGUUGGGGGGCAUUUCCCAACUCAUUUGGUGAAGAGCAUUUACUCUGCUACUAAAGCCAGACAGAGACAUCACAGGAAUGCGACAGACCGAUAUCCACCAUGAAUAUCAACACAAAAAGGCUGAAGAAAAUAUGAACGAGUCAGGUGUAGAGGUGCAAACCUGUAAUCCCAGCUAUUUGGGAGACUGAGGCCGAAGGAUUCAAAAGUUUGAAGCCGUCCUGGGCACCUUAGCGAGGCCCCGUUGCAAACUGAAAAAGAAAAAUUAUUUUUACAGGGCCGGGAGUGUACUUCAGUGGUAGGGCGCAUGACCAGCAUGUGUGGGGCCCUGGGUUCCAUCCUCAGUGGCACCAAAAAUAAAGAAAAUAUUCAUGAACCAUAUCCAGCAACAGAUACAAAAUGUUACGCAACAUUUCCAGGUAAAAUUUCUCCUAGGAAUCCACGAUUGGUUAACAUUCCAAUUUCAAUUAAGGUCUUCCACCAUGUUAAUAUAAUAAAGGACAGAAGCGGCAUCAUCAUCUUGAUAGGAAAAGAAAAGGCGUUUGACAAAACCCAAGACACAUUCAUGGAAAAAGAAUUUCUCAACCAACCCCACAUGGUUAGAAGGAAAGGCUCUCAACCUAUAAAGAGCAUCUACCAUAAACCUACAGCUGACAUUAUAUAUUGUAGUGAAAUAACAAACACUUUUCCCGUAAGACUGAGAGCAAGGCAAGGAUGCUCGUUCCCACUGUUCUCUCCACAGGUUCUAUCUGGCGCAGUCACGUAAGAAAAAGAAGUGGAAACGUGGAUACAUUAGAAAGGAAAACACAUGACCACUCAGAGACGUGCUGUGGUUUGUCCCCUCCAAAAUUCAUGUUGAAAUUGAAUCCCCAUUUUUGAGAUCUUAGGAGGGGCCUGUGAGAGGUGAUGAGCGCUCUGCCCUCACCAAUGGACUAGUCUAGGACGAAUCGGGUAAGAGGUUAAUGGGUUGAUCUGGAGAGUGGGUCUGCUAUGAAAGCCAGUUAGGACGGUACCCUCUCUGAUGCUCCAUGUCUCCCUGCCACGAGAUGCCCUACUCCACCUGGGGACCCUGCCAGGAAGAGGGCCAUGGCCAGAUGGGGAACCUCGACUCAGAACCAUGAGCCAAAAUAAACCUCUUUCCUUUAUACCUUCCCAAGUUGAGGAUAUUGGCAACAGCAAACAGGCUAAGACAACGUGUACUCCAUGCUUAUGGCAGUAUUAUUCAUGAUGGCCCCAGAUGAAGACAAUUAAAUGCCUGCCAGUUGUUGAAGGUAUAAAUAAAAGGUGGAAAAAAUAAAAUUAAAAAAAUGAAAAAGUGGAAUUCAGGUAUCCAUAUAGUAGAAUAUUAAUGAGCAAAGUUUAGGGACAAACUACUAAUACGUGCUAUGGCUUGUUUGAAACUUGAAAAUAUUUUCCUAAUGGCCAGAACCCGGGGAGUGGGGAGAGGGGAAGUCCGCUUCUUGCAUGAGUCAGUUUAUAGGGAAUUCCUGGGCCUGGCGGUAGUCAUGGAGAUUGACUGCUACAUGGGUAUGAGGGAAUCUUUUGGGGGCAAGGGAUAGAAGCAUUCUGAAACAGGGUUGUGGUGAUGGUUGCACAACCGCAUGAAUGUACAGAACGUCACUGCAUUGUACCUUUAGUUGCAUGAAUUUCAUGGUAUGCCUCAAUAAAGAUGUUUUUAAAAAUGUAAUGCACACGUGGAAGUUAGUCACGGGGGAAAGGUGUGCAGUCGUUUCUCUACAACAGUAAAGAAUCUGUUGCUCUCUCUCUUUCCUUCUUCUGGGUCCUGCCUACAUUUCCUGCCUAUUUCCUGCAUCCCCCAUGUGCACUUGAUGCUCCAGCCAGACGGUGGCACUGUGCACGUCUGGGUAGAAGGUGUGCUGGUGAGUGCACAACAUGACUGUGUGUGUGCACCAGUAUGCCUGCGCAAUCAUGAGCACAAUUCCAUAACUGGGGGCAGGUUCCCAUAAUCCAUCCUGUGUCCUAAAUUCCAUGUACGUCAUUUUUUACUCACGAAUCUCAAGGAUCCGGCUUCAGUCUCCCUGGUAACCAACCUCGGCUCUCAGCUUCAACCUCUGUUCCCAGGAAGACAUCAGAGUGGGGAGGGCUGUUGUCUCACUCCAGGGCCCCCUGCCUGAACAAGGGACCCUGUGGAGGUGAGCAGCAGCACGGUUUCCAAGACAACGGCAUUCAGAGGCCUCACCACCUGUGAGGCCCUCCUCCUCCCCUCAGCCAUCAAGUAGGAAAGGGGACUUUGUGGAAUAAACACACUCCUGACUCCUUGAGAUUUAUCUACAUAUGCCUAUAAAAUGAAUGGCUCAAACAUAGCUCUCCACAGGGAAGAUACCCAAUCAACCUUUUGGGGGAAAAAAAAAUCAGUGAACAACAAACAAGACCCUCAAGCUCAAGAUUGUAUUUGAAAACAAGACAGGGGGAGGAGGAGUGUGUGUUUAGGAUUCUCAGCCUCAAGCUGCGCAUGAGAUCUCUGGUGGAGUGAUUUUAAGAACAGAUGCAGGGCCGCCGUCCCCAGAGAUCCUGAUUUAGUCAGUCUGAGAUGAACCACCACCAGCACCACCCCUCCCCCCGCAAUGAGUGUUACCUUAUGCUCCACUGAGGAAAGCCUAGGCUGCAGCUGUGGAAAAGGACACGUCUUUAUAGGAGGAAAACCAAAAUCAGAAAUGAGAGGCCCCUCCUUAUGAAGGAAAGCAGGUUUUCAUCAUUCACUGCUGUGCUGUACAGAUUUCUUAGGCUAAGGAAUGGGGAAAACGUUUCACAGGAAAUGCAUGUUUUCAAACAGUACACUACCCUUGAAGAUCUCUGUAUUUCUACAGUUGCAGUUUUGAUGUAGAAACCCUGCAUUUGCUAAUGAAACAUGAGAUUCUUUAUUUCUUCUGAUGAUCCCUUGUGCUUGGGUUCUUUUCACAGUUGGUGAACUGUUGUACAGCACCUUCAUCAGAUACAGCACAGCAGUUAUUUGAAAACGGAAGAUGGCUCCAAUUUGUGUCGGUUGAUGCGGGUGAACCAGCUCUUAGGCAUACUUGCUAAGUGUGUUGAGUUGCAUUUGUGACGCGCUAUGACACCUUGUAAUCAAAUUAAUUCGUGUGUUUAGGCAACAGUCCAAAUAGUGCCAUGAAAAUUGAUGAUGAACAAUAAGAUGCAGAUGCAGCAAUGCCUUAUUUCAAACACAGACACGGAGAGGUGUCUCCCCAACCAUUCUUUAAUUUUUAAUUUUUUUUUUACUUGCAGAUUCUUUUUUUACAAAUUCUUAAUUGUCCUUUUUAGUUAUACAUGACAGUAGAAUCUAUAUUGAUAUUAUAUAUAUUUAUACAAGCAUGGGAUAUAUCUUAUUCUAAUUAGGGUCCCAGUCUUGUGGAUGUACACAAUGGUGAGAUUCACUUGAGGGUAUUCACGUACGUACAUAGGAAAGUUAUGUCAGAUUCAUUCCGCUGUCCUUCCUAUUCCCAUCCCCACUCCCUUCCCUUCAUUCCCCUUUGUCUAAACCACUGAAUGUCUCUUCUUCCAUUCCUCCCACCCUUUGAUGUAGAUUGGCAUCCACACAUCAGAGAGAACAUUUAACCUUUGUUUUUUGGGGGAUUGGCUUAUUUCACUUAGCAUGACAGUCUCCAGAUCCAUCCGUCUACUGGCAAAUGUCAUAAAAAGUCACUCUUCUUUUAUGACUGAGUAAUAUAAUGUUAUAUAUAUAUAUAUAUAUAUAUAUAUAUAUAUAUAGUAAUAUUACGUAUAUAAUCUAAUAUUAAUAAUGUUAUGUGUGUGUGUG
This 7753-nucleotide long non-coding RNA is filed under the name Marmota monax (woodchuck). The record is from RNAcentral. Lineage: Eukaryota; Metazoa; Chordata; Mammalia; Rodentia; Sciuridae.